CUACAUACAAUUUCAAACUUGCUAAUGCCUGAAUUUUUCGAUACUGUCCAGAUUUGAUUUGUCAGUUACGAAAAAAUUUUCAGCAUCUCAAAGAUCUGUUGAUCGAAUGUUCCAAAUUUGAUACUCAGUUACGAAAAUACUCUCAGUAUCCCAAAGAUCUGUUCAUCGAAUGAUUCAAAGUAUACGAAUUUUAUCUAUCUCGUUUUUUCGUCUGGUGCUUUACGAAUUUAAAAGAUUUUUGGGAUAGCCUACAGUCAGCUGCAUUUCGCAUUUUAUUUGCUUUGCUUUGCUUUUUAUUUAGCUGGACUUUGUUUACGAUUAUGGAAAUAAUAUGAGGGGAUAAUAUUCACCUAGAUUCGCUAUCCCGAAAUGGUUUUAUGGGCACGCGGUGCACUUCUGACUCCGCAUGUACGGCGUAUCAUAAAUGCGUUGUGAUUUAACGUGCAGAUUUUCAUCAAAAAUUUUAUUCAUAUGGCAUGUAUUCGUAUUGUCUAGGUAGUUAAGGCAGCGAUACUCGCAGGGACAAUAAAGAGAAGAAUAAGAAGAAGAAACAGCUGCAUCAGCUAAAAUCCCCACGUUCCAUUUUGUCGUGGGAGCGAAAUCUAAAGUGGAUAUUAUUGUCAACAGAUUCAGGGGACAACGAGGCAAACCAUAUUUCGACUCGAUAAUUAUCGUCGACACGCCCCUCGCGCGUCAAGUUUCGAGAAUAAUAUCACGCAAUGCGAAUCGAACGACAUUGAAGGAAAUUAAAUACAAUGAAACUUUUUCGAAAACCGAAUACAAUUUCAUUCAGGAAAGAUGCCCGGAUGUGCCCAGUCUAUGCUAACUUCGGCGCCUUCGAAAAGUGUAGUUCUUUCGGGGACGAGUCUUCUUCUGGCCAUGGCAGCACCUCGAUGUGUCUUGUAGGAUAUCAAUGCGUAUUUUGCCUGAUUU
Molecule: long non-coding RNA, 933 nt
Organism: Athalia rosae (coleseed sawfly)
Lineage: Eukaryota; Metazoa; Arthropoda; Insecta; Hymenoptera; Athaliidae
Exons: 3
Source: RefSeq, a predicted model, not a curated record